UUUCGUAGUUUAAUUAUACAACCAA
RNAcentral lists this ribosomal RNA (25 nucleotides) under Isospora superbusi. RNAcentral describes it as "large subunit ribosomal RNA". Lineage: Eukaryota; Apicomplexa; Conoidasida; Eucoccidiorida; Eimeriidae. The record is from RNAcentral.